UGGCGACCAUAGCAAGAGUGAACCACCUGAUCCCUUCCCGAACUCAGAAGUGAAACCUCUUAGCGCUGAUGGUAGUGUGGGAUUACCCAUG
This 91-nucleotide ribosomal RNA is filed under the name Acinetobacter baumannii 1237893. The record is from RNAcentral. Lineage: Bacteria; Pseudomonadati; Pseudomonadota; Gammaproteobacteria; Moraxellales; Moraxellaceae.